GAUGAACGCUGGCGGUGUGCCUAAUACAUGCAAGUCGAGCGAACAGAUAAGGAGCUUGCUCCUUUGACGUUAGCGGCGGACGGGUGAGUAACACGUGGGUAACCUACCUAUAAGACUGGAAUAACUCCGGGAAACCGGGGCUAAUGCCGGAUAACAUUUAGAACCGCAUGGUUCUAAAGUGAAAGAUGGUUUUGCUAUCACUUAUAGAUGGACCCGCGCCGUAUUAGCUAGCUGGUAAGGUAACGGCUUACCAAGGCAACGAUACGUAGCCGACCUGAGAGGGUGAUCGGCCACACUGGAACUGAGACACGGUCCAGACUCCUACGGGAGGCAGCAGUAGGGAAUCUUCGGCAAUGGGCGAAAGCCUGACGGAGCAACGCCGCGUGAGUGAUGAAGGUCUUCGGAUCGUAAAGCUCUGUUAUUAGGGAAGAACAAAUGUGUAAGUAACUGUGCACGUCUUGACGUUACCUAAUCAGAAAGCCACGGCUAACUACGUG
RNAcentral lists this ribosomal RNA (497 nucleotides) under uncultured bacterium. Its description in RNAcentral is "partial 16S ribosomal RNA". It matches the Rfam family "Bacterial small subunit ribosomal RNA", at positions 28 to 507 of the family's 1533-position model. The record is from RNAcentral.